Molecule: ribosomal RNA, 384 nt
Filed under: uncultured bacterium
Lineage: Bacteria
Description: bacterial SSU rRNA
Rfam family: Bacterial small subunit ribosomal RNA
Source: RNAcentral
GAUGAACGCUGGCGGCGUGCCUAACACAUGCAAGUCGCGGGAGAAGUGCCUUCGGGCGCGGAAACCGGCGCACGGGUGAGUAACACGUAGCUUAUUUACCCCUUAGAGGUGGAUAACCCUUGGAAACAGAGGCUAAUACACCAUAAGCUCACGACCUCUAGAGGGUUGCGAGAAAAGUUCAGGCGCUAAGGGAUGAGGCUGCGAGCCAUCAGCUAGUUGGUGCGGUAAAGGCGUACCAAGGCGACGACGGCUAGGGGACCUGAGAGGGUGACCAGCCACACUGGGACUGAGACACGGCCCAGACUCCUACGGGAGGCAGCAGUGGGGAAUAUUGGACAAUGGGCGCAAGCCUGAUCCAGCGAUGCCGCGUGUGUGAAGAAGGCC